UGGGGAGUCUUGCGCAAUGGGCGAAAGCCUGACGCAGCGACGCCGCGUGAGUGAUGAAGGCCUUCGGGUUGUAAAGCUCUGUGGGGAGAGACGAAUAAGGGACGGCUAAUACCCGGCUCGAUGACGGUAUCUCCUUAGCAAGCACCGGCUAACUCUGUGCCAGCAGCCGCGGUAAGACAGAGGGUGCAAACGUUGUUCGGAAUCACUGGGCGUAAAGCGCGUGUAGGCGGCUGCGCAAGUCGGGCGUGAAAUCCCGUGGCUCAACCACGGAAGUGCACCCGAAACUGCGUAGCUGGAGUCUCGGAGAGGAAGGUGGAAUGCUUGGUGUAGAGGUGAAAUUCGUAGAUAUCAAGCGGAACACCGGUGGCGAAGGCGACCUUCUGGACGAUGACUGACGCUGAGACGCGAAAGCGUGGGGAGCAAAC
RNAcentral lists this ribosomal RNA (425 nucleotides) under uncultured bacterium. RNAcentral describes it as "bacterial SSU rRNA". It matches the Rfam family "Bacterial small subunit ribosomal RNA", at positions 355 to 773 of the family's 1533-position model. The record is from RNAcentral.